AACGAACGCUGGCGGCAGGCUUAACACAUGCAAGUCGAACGCCCCGCAAGGGGAGUGGCAGACGGGUGAGUAACGCGUGGGAAUCUACCUAGUUCUACGGAACAACAGUUGGAAACGACUGCUAAUACCGUAUACGCCCUACGGGGGAAAGAUUUAUCGGAAUUAGAUGAGCCCGCGUAAGAUUAGCUAGUUGGUGGGGUAAUGGCCUACCAAGGCGACGAUCUUUAGCUGGUCUGAGAGGAUGAUCAGCCACACUGGGACUGAGACACGGCCCAGACUCCUACGGGAGGCAGCAGUGGGGAAUAUUGGACAAUGGGCGCAAGCCUGAUCCAGCCAUGCCGCGUGAGUGAUGAAGGCCUUAGGGUUGUAAAGCUCUUUCACCGAUGAAGAUAAUGACGGUAGUCGGAGAAGAAGCCCCGGCUAACUUCGUG
RNAcentral lists this ribosomal RNA (431 nucleotides) under uncultured organism. Its description in RNAcentral is "bacterial SSU rRNA". It matches the Rfam family "Bacterial small subunit ribosomal RNA", at positions 29 to 507 of the family's 1533-position model. The record is from RNAcentral.